RNAcentral lists this long non-coding RNA (2931 nucleotides) under Nicotiana tabacum (common tobacco). RNAcentral describes it as "long non-coding RNA (NTAB_LNC006728)". The record is from RNAcentral. Lineage: Eukaryota; Viridiplantae; Streptophyta; Magnoliopsida; Solanales; Solanaceae.
CUUUUUUUUUUGAUUUUUGAUUUAUUACACAUUUUUUAAAAUACAGAAUAAGAAAUACCAUAACAAAAGACUGACAUUAAUGUACAAAACUAGAAGGUAAAAGAUGACAUAAAAAGAAAAACAGACUCAAAACAUAAAAAUAAAGAAAAUCUUCUUUUAAUCCACUCCUGAAUGAGCGAUCCUGACUAGAUGGUCCUGGGGCUCUGUCAUGCUCAAACUCCGGUAAGUAAACCCACACCUGUAUGAGAAAAUUAAGACCAACACUAUGUGAGACAAUAACAUUCCCUACUAGACACAUGCAAGACAUGAUUGAGGCUAUUUGCAAAAUGGCUUAUUUGGCCAAAAGGUGGCUAGAAGUGCAAAAUUUAGCUAAGACCCCGCAAAGCCAAGAACCUAAGAUUUACUAGGAAGACCGGACCCUAUGUGGGUUGCCUACGUAUCACGCCCCAAAAGACGAGAAUCAGGUUUGCGUAGUUCGGGCAGAUUGGAUACGGGCGAGAAUUAAAAAAAACACUAAUUUGAUUUUUUUUAUCUUUUUUUUUUGAAAAAUGAUGGAACAUGUAAACUCUUUUUGGAUUUUUUUUUGAUUUCCUGAUUUUUGGAAAAUGAUGAAAGAGUCCAAAAUCUUUUUUUGAAUUUUCAAGCUCUUUUUCCUUAACAAAAAAUGUGACAGAAAACAUAAUUGAGCAUCACUCUCUUCACACUUCACCCUCUCUUUUUUUUUUUAAUUUUUUUUCCAUUUAUUUUCAUUUGCCCUCAACUAUUAUUAGUCCGCCAAAUGACCCUUUUACCCUUNNNNNNNNNNNNNNNNNNNNNUUAUAUACAGUCCAAACAAUAUCAAAGCGGUAAAAAGCAACAUUUAGCACAUUAAGCCCAGACAUGUAAUAAAACCAGAUAAUAAAUAAAGCCAAAUAUAACAAUUAUUCCAAGCUCGAAUUCUUGAACCCUGAACCAGAAAUUCUGGGUUCUUGUCCCCAGCAGAGUCGCCAGAGCUGUCACACCUCCUUUUUCCUACACCCCCGUAAGUGUGUAAGGGAGUUUUUUCCAAUUUAAGUGAAAAUCAAAACGGGAUUAUAUUAUUUAAAAUUCAGAGUCUCCAUUUGGGAUAAUUUAUGGUGUCCCAAGUCACUGGUUCAAAUCCCGAAUCGAGGAAAGAUUGACUCUGUUUUACAGUCCGCGUACACAGAAAUCCGGGUAAGGAAUUCUGUUAACCUGGGAGAAGAUGUUAGGCAUUUCCGAGUUCCGUGGUUCUAGCACGAUCGCUCAACUAUUAUUAUUGGCCUAAUUAUCUGAUUUUAAAAUACUUUUAAGCCUAUGUGCGAUUUUAAACUUUAAAACCACUUUUAUUUAUUUAAAGAAUUAACUCAAGGUUAUUUAAAAUAUAUCGUAAGCCACACUACAUGAAAUGCACCCAUGGUUCACGACACGUUCUGUUUAACCUUGUUGGAAAUUAGAAUCGGGUCACACGAAAUGCACACCCGGAUUUAGAAAUUGUGUAUCGCAACUACGUUACGAGAACCGUACCCGUAGUAGUGAUAAUUUUACUUAUGCGGUUAAAAAAAAAAGUUUACCUACCUAAAUGUGAUGGGCCGAAAACAUGUUCCUAACGAUUCAACCCAAAAAACAAGAACGAGGAGUUACGAAAUUGUCUUGAGUCCAAACUCUUUCAAUUUUAGUCCAAAAACACACUGCCCUCUUUCGUUACUCCUUAUUUUCAAAUCAAAUUAGUACAUGUUAACACUACAGCUACUGGGCAAUGACAGGUCCAAGCAUACUGAGUAAAAUUUUCUGAAGCUAAGAUAAUCUACCAUUUCCACGCACAUACGUAAUGGUGCAAUAAGAAUCAAAGUUAUAAUAUAUGGGAAACUAAGACUAAAGAGAGACAAAAGAAAAGAAAACACACUACUUUGGUUCCCAUGUGAUCCUUAAGCUCAACAGAACAUGUAGCUACUGCUACAGAGGAGAUUCAAUAAGAGCAAAGGCAAUCUUGGCAAUAUAUAAAUUUUCUAAUAAAAUUAGUUAUCCCACUCAUUAUUAAUCCUUAAUUAAAAUUUGGGGCCAUUUCCAUUAUCAAAAUGAUGGGCAGUACCGUUUUCUUUCCCUUAUAACCAAUUUAGUCAUGUUUUCCUUACUUUGUUAUAAAUCAAACAGAAAUUAAUACUUGCAAAAUAAACUCAAGAUGAAUCCACACCACUACCAUUAGAGGAACAUAAGAAGAAGGAAGAACUGCACCUGAAGAAUGAAGUUUCAAUUCCUCAAAGUAUUCAACAAUUACACAAACAAAAUCGACACCGCAACCAUGACUUAAACUCAAAAUAGAUGGAAGCUCAGACCUCGACAGAAACAACGACUCUGCAAAAUGAGACUCCGAACCUCGACGGCGCCGGAAAACUCAUAAAAACUCCAACACUAACUUAAAAUCGGACUUUAAUCCAAUUCUAACCCGAAAAUGACCACAGAUGGAACAAGGACCCAGCGAUCUCGAACAUCUCUAGCUCUCAACCCCGAACAACUCAACGAAUGGACUUCAAAAUGGACUUUAUGAAGUUGAAGAAGAGGAUUGUCGAUGGAGGAGGUGUUUUUGGGUGUUCAGCGACUGAGGAAGAUCAGUUCAUGGUGGAGAGGGAUUGUUGAAGGGUUGUAGGUCCUUCUGCUUCGAGACAUAAGAGGAACAACUUAGGGGUCGUUGCUUUUGGUUUGUGUUGCUGUAGAAGAAGCUGAAGAUCAAGAGGUCUUCGAUGGUGUUUUCUAAUGGAGGUCCUGAUUCUCUGCUUCAGAAGAAGAGGAAACGAUGGGUCCUUUGGGGUGGUUGGCAUCGAAGAAGACGAUGAACAGGAGGGGGUGGGUCUGUAUAUUUACAGCGCUUCAGAUUUAGCUCUAGGGCAGCCUUUUUCUUUUGUCUGUAUUUUGUUUUUGCAUUUUUCUCCUGAU